Thalassophryne amazonica is the source of this 123-nucleotide small nuclear RNA. The record is from RefSeq and is a predicted model, not a curated record. NCBI's taxonomy places the organism in Eukaryota, Metazoa, Chordata, Actinopteri, Batrachoidiformes, Batrachoididae.
GUGUUGUAUGAAAUUAGAGAGGGUUAGCACUCCCCUUGACAAGGAUGGAAGUGGCCCCUGUGUCCUGCAACACAAAUGGUUAGAGCACAGCUGCUACAAUGGUGCUGUGACCCGGAUGAGAGU